Molecule: ribosomal RNA, 245 nt
Filed under: uncultured bacterium
Lineage: Bacteria
Description: partial 16S ribosomal RNA
Rfam family: Bacterial small subunit ribosomal RNA
Source: RNAcentral
UACGUAGGGUGCGAGCGUUAAUCGGAAUUACUGGGCGUAAAGCGUGCGCAGGCGGUAAUGUAAGACAGAUGUGAAAUCCCCGGGCUUAACCUGGGACCUGCAUUUGUGACUGCAUUGCUGGAGUGCGGCAGAGGGGGAUGGAAUUCCGCGUGUAGCAGUGAAAUGCGUAGAUAUGCGGAGGAACACCGAUGGCGAAGGCAAUCCCCUGGGCCUGCACUGACGCUCAUGCACGAAAGCGUGGGGAG